UACGGGGGGAGCAAGCGUUGUUCGGAUUUACUGGGCGUAAAGGGCGCGUAGGCGGUCAGCACAAGUCAGUUGUGAAAUCUCCGGGCUUAACUCGGAAAGGUCAACUGAUACUGUGCGACUAGAGUGCGGAAGGGGCAACUGGAAUUCUCGGUGUAGCGGUGAAAUGCGUAGAUAUCGAGAGGAACACCUGCGGCGAAGGCGGGUUGCUGGGACGUUACUGACGCUGAGACGCGAAAGCGUGGGGAGCAAACAGG
Molecule: ribosomal RNA, 254 nt
Filed under: uncultured bacterium
Lineage: Bacteria
Description: partial 16S ribosomal RNA
Rfam family: Bacterial small subunit ribosomal RNA
Source: RNAcentral